AAAUUGAAGAGUUUGAUCAUGGCUCAGAUUGAACGCUGGCGGCAGGCCUAACACAUGCAAGUCGAACGGUAACAGGAAGCAGCUUGCUGCUUCGCUGACGAGUGGCGGACGGGUGAGUAAUGUCUGGGAAACUGCCUGAUGGAGGGGGAUAACUACUGGAAACGGUAGCUAAUACCGCAUAAUGUCGCAAGACCAAAGAGGGGGACCUUCGGGCCUCUUGCCAUCGGAUGUGCCCAGAUGG
This 241-nucleotide ribosomal RNA is filed under the name Shigella sonnei. RNAcentral describes it as "partial 16S ribosomal RNA". It matches the Rfam family "Bacterial small subunit ribosomal RNA", at positions 1 to 238 of the family's 1533-position model. The record is from RNAcentral. Lineage: Bacteria; Pseudomonadati; Pseudomonadota; Gammaproteobacteria; Enterobacterales; Enterobacteriaceae.